UACAGAGGUCCCGAGCGUUGUUCGGAUUUAUUGGGCGUAAAGGGUGCGUAGGCGGCGCGGUAAGUCGGGUGUGAAAUCUCGGGGCUUAACUCCGAAACUGCAUUCGAUACUGCCGUGCUUGAGGACUGGAGAGGAGACUGGAAUUUACGGUGUAGCGGUGAAAUGCGUAGAUAUCGUAAGGAAGACCAGUGGCGAAGGCGGGUCUCUGGACAGUUCCUGACGCUGAGGCACGAAGGCCAGGGGAGCAAACGGG
RNAcentral lists this ribosomal RNA (253 nucleotides) under uncultured bacterium. RNAcentral describes it as "partial 16S ribosomal RNA". It matches the Rfam family "Bacterial small subunit ribosomal RNA", at positions 524 to 776 of the family's 1533-position model. The record is from RNAcentral.